RNAcentral lists this long non-coding RNA (253 nucleotides) under Mytilus galloprovincialis (Mediterranean mussel). Lineage: Eukaryota; Metazoa; Mollusca; Bivalvia; Mytilida; Mytilidae. The record is from RNAcentral.
GGCCGUUAGUUUUCUCGUUUGAAUUGUUUUACAUUGUCUUAUCGGGGCCUAUUAUAGCUGACUAUGCGGUAUGGGCUUUGCUCAUUGUUGAAGGCCGUACGGUGACCUAUAGUUGUUAAUGUCUGUGUCAUUUUGGUCUUUUGUGGAUAGUUGUCUCAUUGGCAAUCAUACCACAUCUUCUUAUUUAUACUUACUCAAAUCCAAUCUAUUAGAAAAACUAAUUAUUUCAAAAGAAUGACCACUAUGCACUUCC